UUCGGAUUCUGGGCUUAAGAGUUCGUAGGUGGUUGAAAAGUUGGUGGUGAAAUCCCAGAGCUUAACUCUGGAACUGCCAUCAAAACUUUUCAGCUAGAGUUUGAUAGAGGAAAGCAGAAUUUCUAGUGUAGAGGUGAAAUUCGUAGAUAUUAGAAAGAAUACCAAUUGCGAAGGCAGCUUUCUGGAUCAUUACUGACACUGAGGAACGAAAGCAUGGGUAGCGAAGAGGAUUAGAUACCCUCGUAGUCCAUGCCGUAAACGAUGUGUGUUAGACGUUGGAAAUUUUUUUCAGUGUCGCAGCGAAAGCGAUAAACACACCGCCUGGGGAGUACGACCCCAAGGUUAAAACUCAAAUGAAUUGACGGGGACCCGCACAAGUAGUGGAGCAUGUGGUUUAAUUCGAAGAUACGCGCAGAACCUUACCAACACUUGACAUGUUCGUCGCGACUUUAAGAGAUUAAAGUUUUCGGUUCGGCCGGACGAAACACAGGUGCUGCAUGGCUGUCGUCAGCUCGUGUCGUGAGAUGUUGGGUUAAGUCCCGCAACGAGCGCAACCCUCACUUUUAGUUGCCAUCAUUAAGUUGGGCACUCUGAAAGAACUGCCAGUGAUAAGCUGGAGGAAGGUGGGGAUGACGUCAAGUCCUCAUGGCCCUUACGUGUUGGGCUACACACGUGCUACAAUGGUAUCUACAACAGGAAGCGAAACAGCGAUGUUAAGCAAAUCCUCAAAAGAUACCUCAGUUCGGAUUGCACUCUGCAACUCGAGUGCAUGAAGCUGGAAUUACUAGUAAUCGUGGAUCAGCGUGCCACGGUGAAUGCGUUCCCGGGUCUUGUAGA
Molecule: ribosomal RNA, 837 nt
Filed under: uncultured bacterium
Lineage: Bacteria
Description: bacterial SSU rRNA
Rfam family: Bacterial small subunit ribosomal RNA
Source: RNAcentral